Molecule: long non-coding RNA, 4732 nt
Filed under: Lepisosteus oculatus (spotted gar)
Lineage: Eukaryota; Metazoa; Chordata; Actinopteri; Semionotiformes; Lepisosteidae
Description: lncRNA (ENSLOCG00000021707.1)
Source: RNAcentral
UGGAGUCACUAAAUCAUGAAGCUUUUCCUCAUUAAUUAUCCUACAGUUUGUAUUCACCACAGUGGUUGUUAAUUGUACAGUCUCAUCACUAAACCAGAUGGUGUAAUGAUGGAUUUGUGAUAUAGAUGCACUGUACUGGUUAUUCAUUUUACUUUCCAGUGAAGCAGACAGUGGUUUUCCUGGAUAAUUAUUACACAAUCACCAUACUCUCUUAACUGUACUGCCUUGUCCCUAAACCAGAUGACAUCUUUCCUGAAUCAGUUCACCCUUUCUGGUUGUCAGUUGUGUAGUCUCAUCCCUGAACCAGACAGUUCCUGUCCACAGUGAUGACCGUAUAUAUUCACUGUGCUGGUUCCUGAUUUACUGGUAUAGUCACUCACCCAGACACAGGUUUUCCAGAAUAAUUGUGAUAUAACUGCCACACUGGUUGCUAGUUGUCCGACUAGGGACACUAAACCGGACAAACCAGCUGUGCUUUUCCUGAAUAAUUGUUUAUAUCCCAUACUGGUGGGUAAUUGUGGUUUUUAGUCAGUGAAACCAGAUGGUCUUAUUCCUGAAUUUUUCACCGUACUGGUUGUUAAUUGUACUGUCUCGUCACUAAACCAGAUGGUGUUUUUCAUGAAUGCCUUUUUAUAUCUUCACUGUAGUGGUUGUUAACUUUAAUUUCUAGUAACUAGUUCUAGUUACUUCGCCUGCCUGCUGGAGCCUGUGAGGGUGACGAUGAUGAUGAAGAGCUGCUGGUGCCCCUGGUCCAGGUGGAGAUCUGGAGCCCCAAGAGGACUCCUCCUGAUUUCUCUCAAAAGCGUGAGCAACAUCACAGCGGGCUGGAUGAGGAGUUCAGAUGCAGGUUGGAUGCUCUCUGCUGUAUUAACUCCCAGAUUUUCCAGGAUGUCCAGAGGCCGACAGUGGGAAGACGGGUAUGAAUUAGUUGGGAUGCAUGUUGGAUGGUCUCUCCUGUAUUAUUUUCCAGGAUGUCCAGGAGCUGGCAGUGGGAAGAUAGGUCAGAAAGUGUCUCCUGCAUUCUUUUCCCCAGUUUUCCAGAGGCCGACAGUGGAAAGACAAGUAUGGAUUAGUUGGGAUGCAUGUUGGAUGAUCCCUCCUGUAUCAUUUUCCAGGAUGUCCAGAGGCUACCAGUGGGAAGAUGGGUUAGAUGGUUUCUCCUGCAUUCUUUUCCCCAGUUUUCCAGAGGCUGACAGUGGGAAGACAGGCAUCAAUUAGUUGGGAUGCAUGUUGGAUGGUCUCUCCUGUAUUAUUUUCCAGGAUGUCCAGGAGCUGGCAGUGGGAGGAUAGGUCAGAAGGUGUCUCCUGCAUUCUUUUCCCCAGUUUUCCAGAGGCCGACAGUGGGAACACAGGUGUGGAUUAGUUGGGAUGUGAGUUGUAUGAUCUCUCCUGUAUUAUUUUCCAGGAUUUCCAGAAUCUGACAGUGGAUAGACAGGUAUGGAUACAGGUUAGAUGGUCUCUCCUGUAUUAUUUUCCAGGAUGUCUAGAGGCUGGCAGUGGGAAGACCGGUAUGGAUGCAGCUUACCGUCUAAGGAUGGGCUCUCAUGUAAUCUUUUUUUUCCCCUACUUAUCCAGGAUGUCCAGUGGCUGACAGUGGGAAGAUAAGUAUGGAUUAGUUGGGAUGCAUGUUGGAUGAUCCCUCCUGUAUCAUUUUCCAGGAUGUCCAGAGGCUGGCAGUGGGAAGAUGGGUUAGAUGGUUUCUCCUGCAUUCUUUUCCCCAGUUUUCCAGAGGCCGACAGUGGGAAGACAGGUGUGGAUUAGUUGGGAUGUGAGUUGUAUGAUCUCUCCUGUAUUUUCCAGGAUUUCCAGAAUCUGACAGUGGAUAGACAGGUAUGGAUACAGGUUAGAUGGUCUCUCCUGUAUUAUUUUCCGGGAUGUCUAGAGGCUGGCAGUGGGAAGAUGGGUUAGAUGGUGUCUCCUGCAUUCUUUUCCCCAGUUUUCCAGAGGCUGACGGUGAGGAGAUGGGUAUGGAUUAGUUGGGAUGUGAGUUAAAUUCUUUCCUGUAUUUUCCCUACUUUUCCAGGAUAUCCAGAGGCUGACAGUGGGAAGACAGGUGUGGAUUAGUUGGGAUGCAUGUUGGAUGAUCUCUCCUGUAUUAUUUUCCCUAAUUUUCCAGGAUAUCCAGAAUCUGACAGUGGGAAGACCAGUAUGGAUGCAGGUUAGAUGGUCUCUCGUGUAAUCUCUUUCCCUAAUUUUCCAGGAUGUCCAGGAACUGGCAGUGGGAAGAUGGGUUAGAUGGUGUCUCCUGCAUUCUUUUCCCCAGUUUUCCAGAGGCUGACAGUGGGAAGACAGGCAUCAAUUAGUUGGGAUGCAUGCUGGAUGAUCUCUCCUGUACUAUUUUCCAGGAUAUCCAGGAGCUGGAAGUGGGAAGAUGGGUUAGAUGGCGUCUCCUGCAUUCUUUUCCCCAGUUUUCCAGAGGCUGACAGUGGGAAGGCAGGUAUGGAUGCAGGUUAGAUGGUCUCUCAUGUAAUCUUUUUCCCGAAGUUUCCGGGAUGUCUAGAGGCUGGCAGUGGGAAGACUGGUAUGGAUGCAGCUUACCGUCUAAGGAUGGUCUCUCAUGUAAUCUUUUUUUCCCUACUUAUCCGGGAUGUCCAGAGGCUGGCAGUGGGAAGACGGGUGUGGAUUAGUUGGGAUGCAUGUUGGAUGAUCUCUCCUGUAUUAUUUUCCAGGAUAUCCAGGAGCUGGAAGUGGGAAGAUGGGUUAGAUGGUGUCUCCUGCAUUCUUUUCCCCAGUUUUCCAGAGGCUGACAGUGGGAAGACGGGUAUGGAUUAGUUGGGAUGCAUGUUGGAUGAUCUCUCCUGUAUUAUUUUCCAGGAUGUCCAGGAGCUGGCAGUGGGAAGAUGGGUUAGAUGGUGUCUCCUGCAAUCUCUUCCCCAGUUUUCCAGUGGGAAGACAGGUGUGGGUUAGUUGGGAUGCGAGUUGUAUGAUCUCUCCUGUAUUUUCCAGGACGACCAGAAGCUGACAGUGGAAAGACAGGUAUACUUACUGAUUGGAUUCUCUCCUGUAUUUUCCAGGAUGCCCACAGGCUGACAGUGGGAAGACGGGUGUGGACGGGGAGUUGGGAGGGAGGUUGGAUGCUCUCUGCUGUCUGUAUUUCUUCCUCUGUGGCGUCUCUCUGCUCGUCUUUCUCUCAGUCCAGCUGCAUGUGGUUUGUGAAACAGCAGCUUCGCAGUGCUGAGCUGGGAUUAGGACUGGUGGGUUGCAGAGUUCAGGGUUCGAUUCCAGAGGGGGACACAGCUCUUGUAUCCCAGAGACAGGUACUUAAAUUUCUGUUCUGAUAUGUUUUAUUAUAGUGUAUUGUAGACAGUGUAGUAUUGACAAUGGUGUGCUGACGUCUCAUGAAGGCUGUAACUUAAUACUCGCAUUCAGUGACACAGUUAAAUGCUCACCUGUACUGAGCUUUAAUACUCAACACACCUGUGUGCUGAACUAAAACCUUUAUUCUGCUUCAGUACUCAACCCUGUGUGCUCAGCUCUCACCUGUACUGUAGUUUAAUACUCAGACACAUCUGUGUACUGAUUCUUGAACUGUACUGUGCUUUAGUAAUCAGGAACAGAUGUGCUGAAUUAUCGCCUAUAUUGAGCUGCAAUGAUGACACUUGUGUGAAAAACUCUAAUAUGGACAGUUUUAACACUCAAACCUGUGUACUGAACUCUGUACGCUGUACUCUAAUACUCCAUGACACAUCUGUAGUCUCAACUGUACUGUUUUAAUACUCAAUGACAAGCCAGUAUUCUGAACCCUUGUAGUGUACUAUAAUACUCAUACCUGGACUGAACUCUCUCCUACACUGAGCUUUAAUACUCCUUGACAUACCUGUGUGCUGAACUGUAUUAUGCUUUAGUAUUUGAACCUGAGUGCUGAACUGUUGCCUGUAGUGUUGUUGUACUCAAACUUGUGAACUGGACUCUCGGCUGUACUGAGUUUUAAUACUCUGACACACCUGUGUGACGAACUCUAAUACGUGCAGUUAUACUAACUGAGCAAUGACAUCUGUACUGAGCUUGAAUACUCAAUGACAAAACAGUAUUUUGAACCCCCACCUGUGGUGUACCUUAAUUCUCAAACCUGUGUAUUUAGCUUUAAUACUUAGUGACACCCUUGACUGUACUGCACUUUAAUACUCAAUGACAAACCAGUAUUCUCAGCUCUUGUCUGUAGUGCACUUUAAUAAUCAAACUUGUGUGCUGAACUCUCUCCUAUAAUGCUUAAAUGUAAUACUGACACACCUGUGAGCUGGACUGCAUUGUGUUCAAGUAUUCGAUUCUGAGUGCUGAACUGUUGCCUGCAGUGUGUUGUAGUAGUUAAAACUCUGUACUGAACUCUCAGCUGUACUGAGCUUGAAUACUCUGCCACACUUGAGAACUCUAAUAUGUACAGUCGUACUGAACUCUGUACACUGUACUAUAAUACUCAGACACAUCUGUGUACUGGAUUCACAACUGCACGGUGCUUGAAUAAUUAAUGACAGUGUGAGCGAUGUGUUGUGCUGUUUUAAUACUUGAUGACAAACGGUAUUCUGAACCCUUGCCUUUAGUGUAAUACUGUACUCCAUAACCCACCAGUGUGGUGAAGUCUCACCUGUUUAAUACUUCGCCUGUAAUAUGGUCUAAUUCUCAAACCUGUGCGCUGAACUCAUAACUUGGAGACUAGGUAUUCAAUCUUGGUAACAAAAUGAAUUUUACAGUUUUCGUAUUAAGUGCAGCUUUGUGUAGUGCUGUUUGUUGGCCA